Long non-coding RNA from Syngnathoides biaculeatus (alligator pipefish), 9320 nucleotides. RefSeq lists it as uncharacterized. The transcript is spliced from 3 exons. The record is from RefSeq and is a predicted model, not a curated record. Lineage: Eukaryota; Metazoa; Chordata; Actinopteri; Syngnathiformes; Syngnathidae.
UCUGAUCUGCUCUCUACAGCCAUUGUCUGUCACUCAUAAGUGCCCAGAAUAUUCUGUAAGUAAAUUCUUCAAAGAAACUGUUAAUCAUCUCCAGCCUUUAUUUGGAUAACCAACAUUCUCAUUACCCAAAAUUAAACGAACAAGCGGAGGAAAAAAGCAUCCUCCAACAAUUGGUGACCCCAACGUGAUUUCAGACUGAGGUGUUGGUUGACAAACAGAACAUCGGCCGGCCAACAAUUGAUAAGGUCCUGUUCUGGUCGAUCGAUGCAGAAUCCACUAGAGCAACAGCGACAGCCUCACUUCACUUAUCAACACCUGGCAACCUCACCAAGCAGGUUGAAGAAGGGUUCAGAGCAGCAGGAGAGUAAAAGCAGAACAAACAACCAGUCAAGUCAAUGUAUCACUGCACCAACUGCGCUGCCUGGUAGAACCACUGGGCAUUACAGGACAACCUGCUGGACAUGACUUGGCAUUAAAGGACAAGGUCAAAUUAAUCAAGAAAUUGUUGAUGAUCAGAGGAAGUUGAGAUAGACUUCAGCAGAGCCGCGACAAUAAUGAGAAUAAGCAGUAUGGAAAAUCAAUGGAUGGAUAUAUGCAUGUACAUUAUGUAUGGUUUUUUUUUUCAUUUAUUUAUUAGAGGUCAGACUCGGAGUCUAUAUAAUCCAUAACGAAUAGUGAAUCAAAUUAACUUUUUCUCUCUUUGUACUCUUUGUCCAAAAAUAAUAAUCCAACACAUGAAAAGUCCAACUGGAUUAUUCAACAACUACUGAACGCGUCAGAGAGUACGCUGACACGCUUUUACCUGCAUCUCCAUAGAAAGAAAAAAAUCUUUUUAGUUUAAAAUGGCUUACUUUAACGAGGAACCCAAGUCUGGUUUUCGCUUGUGGGUGGCAUAAAUCCUCACCGACCUGUGCAAACUGCCACCUUCCUUGUUUGCCUGCUGGGUUCUUAACUGUGCUAGCAUCAGGUUUUUUUAGAUCAACUUUCUCUUUUUCUCGCUUCUAAAUCCACAGCUGUGCCGUAGUCCCUCUCUCCAGCAGUGGCUCCUUUUUUGCCGGGAGGGGGGGGGCACAGAAGUGAUGCACAGUAAGUCCAAAUAGUGGUGAAAGUAAUCGGAAGCAUUUCAGAGCAUGUCACAAGAAAAUAAGUACUUUGACUCAUUUUCAUUUGAAUUUGAAAAUUCUGCUUUUUUGGUGUUGUUUUUGUUGUUGUUUUACUCACAAAUUGACUCAACUUAAAACCCAGCAUUUCCACCCAUGGUCCAUCCAUAGGAGGCCCCCCCUCUGGAGUCAGGCCGUGAGGUGGGGUUCAAUGUCGAGCGCCUGGUCAGCCAGGUAGGCACAGCCCAAAAAGAAAACGGGGGUCUUCUUUCCCAUGAAGUGACCACCUAUGGGAGGGGCGGGUGCACUGUGACCUGGGUACCGUCUGAAGGCGGGGGACAUAGGCACUCCUAUCCCUGGUUACAGAAGCUUCCUAUGGGGACAUGGAAUACCAACUUUCUGGCAGGGAUAGAGCCUGAGCAGGUGUGCGGGUUGACAAAUUCUGACUUGACAUAGUCGGACUUGCCACGAAAAACAGCUUGGGCUCUAGUACCGUCUUCUUGAGAGGAGUUGGACUUUCUUCCAAUUUGGAUUUGCCCAUAGUGAGAGGCGCCUAGCAGGUGUGGGCAUACUGAUGGCCCCGCAUCUCGGUGUCUCUGUGUUGGGGUUCGAUAUAUAGGCAACACCUCUUGGGAGUAUGAUGUAUUUUAAAGUUCAUGUUUAUCAUGUUACUGAAGUGCUCCAAAUGGGCAGUGUAGAAGUUUGGAGGAAAGUAAAGAAAUAAAAGUUUAUUUCUUUAGUAAUAAUGGUGUUAAUCCCAAACAGGUAUAUGAAAUGGCUCUUUUUCUCUGUAAUGUUAGUCAUACUUACAGUAUAUUGUGUUUUUAAAUAUUAUUUAGUAAAAUUGUGGCAUGAUAGUGGUUUGGUUAGUGGGUGGAUUAAGUCACCACUGAGGCCGGGUCUGAAAGGCUCUGUGUGGGCAUCAGUGUCAUUUUUAUUUUGUUCCCUUUGUUCCUUUGAAUACUCAUACUGUAUAUUCCCACAUUUAAAUUCAACUGUGAAUAGCUUUAACUGUGAGUGUGAAUGGUUGGGGUCUUUCUAUGACAGACUGGUCAUACCACUGCAGUCUGCAAACAUCAAUAUAAAGUUGUAGUGGUACACACGCCUGACUUCAGUGCAUGCAGCAUGGUAUCAAUUCCCAUUCAGUGAUGGUGUUGCUAUAUUCCCUACGACCUACUGCGACCAGUUCAGGGUGUAGUCUGCCUUUCACCCAAUGUUAGCUUGGAUAGGCACCAGUUCUGCAGCGAGCCUUGUGAGGAUAAGUAGCUUGGACUAUGGACAUGGACAUAACUUUCAAAAUCCACCUAUAUAGUCAAAAUCAUUUCAGGCAGUCGUGUUCUAUGCAUCUCGAGGUUUUGCACAGAUGAAUAAUCAUAUCCAAUUAGAUGUAUUACAGUACAUUGUAUAGGCACGACCCUUUAUGGAAACUGAGUUUUGUUUAGUACCACUGACUCUGCUGACAGAAUACUACUCACUCUGACAGUUAGCACAUAAUUAUAUCGCUAACACAUAAUGCAACUUUUAACAACAAAAUACUUUCCCAAAAUGUCUUUUGACCUUUAACGGCCACCCUCAAAGUCCAACAACUGGACCCUGGAGCAUUGUACAUGCUAUAGCCACUUAAAACUCAAAAGUUACAGCCUGCUCCCAAGGUAGUAUUCUGUGAAUACAAUAUGCUUUGUCUAAUUAAGGAAAAUUUGUGCCACUCCAAGGAAAAGCAGAACAGAGGAGAGAUGAAUAAAUUGAUGUGUUGCUCCAGCCUAAUGGUAUAAUAAUGAAAAAAAAAAAAAGGUUACAAUUAAUUGUUCUUUAAGGUAACUCGUUCCAUCGUUUGACUGUGGUUUGAUGUGAGAAUAGAGACCACUUGCUAAAGGAAAACUUGCAUCCUAAGCAUAACAGUGGUACCCUUGUGCAAGAAGAUACUGAAUCUCCAAAUGUUUGGAGAUGAAACACCUUUUGGUGCAGUCAUGUCACACUGAGAUUUGUCCUACUACAUAGAUGUAAAAUGAUAAAAUGAUGAAGGAUUUUGCCCUUGUGUAACAAUUAAAUGUUAUGAAAAACGACAAGUAGGCAGCAUGGUUGAUAUACCGGUCAACUCGUACAGUUUAGCUGGAGUUCAUACAGAUUUUGUGGUGAAUCUUACGUAUACGGCCGUAUAUCACAAGUCAUACGGAUUCUGAAAAUUUCCAUUUGCUUUUGCCCAGAAUGGCACUAGUCUACUCUAUUGUGGGGAAAACCCAAAACUGGGGAAUUCCAAACGUAGCCUGCAUCAAAGAUUUUUGUCACAGCAGGCAUGAUGUUUAGCGUAGCGGCAAAUGUUGAUUUAGAUUACCAAAAUACUUUCAUUUGCAGUAACUUUCCAGUAAAUCGUUGGCCCAGAUCGAGCACCGCCAAGGAACACGGGAAACAUGGAGGCUGCGGCCGAGGAGCUGCUGGCCGGCUCUCGGCUGCCUGUCACAAUCGAUCAAAUCGUUAACGAUACGCUAUUGGUGACGCUGACCUAUCGAGAUAGGAGCUAUACAGGGAUAUUACUUGACUGCAACAAAAAGUGAGUGUCGUUUUUUUAUCUUGACUUUGAUCAUUUGUGGCUCAAAUUAAUAUGACUUAGCUCGUAGCUAAUGUAGCGUCCAUGCUCGCUAGUUAGCCGCCUGGGCCUCAUUACAAAUACUGUACAUGGGAUUAUUGUAGCUGACAUUGUAGCUUUCUUGCUAGCAUUCUAGCUGAUGGUCGUGUUUUUAUAACAGCUGACAAUAAUAUAAUUUAAUGCUGUGUUUUCACCACAAGGGUGUCAUAAGUAUGUCAAGAUAGACGUUCCAUUUACUAAGAUUGAGAAUGGCUUCAUCGGAACAAUAGCUAAUGUCAGUGAGUGCAUCUAUGGCUUAUUGUUAGCCUUAUCAUAGAGAUCAGCUCCUUCCUUAUUCACUAAAAAUAAGGAAUUGAUCAUCGGCAUUCAGUGGAUAUGUUAUCUUUCAAAACAUAUUUCUUUUCCCAUCACUGAUUCUCUUUGGUGAAUCUCUCUUACAAAUAUCUGGGGUAUUGUAGCCUGGCUGAUAAAUAGCCAUAUAGACAUUCACCUCAGAUAUUAUUAUUAUGGAGAUCUACAAUAAAAAUCAUUGAAAAACUUUGUGUUUUUUCCCUGCAUUAUUUUGACAUAUAAUUUGCUUCUGUAUGUUAUAAGGAUUUUUUUGCUCUCUAUAAGGAUUUUGUUGGUAGUGUAUACAGGUUGGUGCUCCGAAGAGUUGACAGAUAUGGGUCGAGCAGCUGUAGAAGAGCGUUGGCCUCACAGUUCUGAGGACCGGGAUUUGAAUCCCGGCCCCAUCCUUUGUGGAGUUUGCAUGUUCUCCCCGUGGCCGUGUGAGUUUUCGCAUUCCAAUUUCCUCCCACCUCCAAAAAACACGCAUUAAUUGGACACUCUAAAUUGCCCCUUCGUGUAAUUGUCAGUGCGACUGUUGUCUGUCUCCAUGUGACCUGCAAAUGGGUGGGAACCAGUUCAGGGUGUACCCCGCCUCCUGCCCGUUGACAGCUGGGAUAGGCUCCAGGACAACUGAGCACACCACACCAGGUAGAGAGGUUUCCUUGGAGACAGCCCACCUGGUGGAGCAACAUCCCCCAUCACAUGAGGAAAGCACAUCAAACACUGUACUUCCUCAUGAAACUGCACUAAUUCCUGACCCCCUCCCCAACACCCACUGAUUAGCUCUUAAAGAUCCAGCAUGAGCUGACCUCCUGCUCCACAAGGUGGUUCAGCAGGUCUACUGAGCACGAGGACAGGAAUGAUCUGCACCAGGUGGUGAGAGCAGCAGAGUGAGUGAUUGGAGGUAAACUAUCCAUGCUCAUGGACUCUAGAGUGGGAGAUAAACGUGGAAAGCCAAUGGAAUCAUAAACUACUCCUCCCACCCCAGACACUCACAACCCCUCCCUCUAGAAAACACCACAGGACAAACUUUAGAACCAUGGGGCUUAAGAACAAUUUCUACCAUCAAGCUGCAAAAUGCACCUCGCCCCUACAUCCCACAAUACGAACCAUAACAACUAACAACUACAAAGAGUAACUAGGAUAGAAUGAAAGACUAUAAUAUUGUCUGGUCAUAAUUUGCACAUUACCGAAAACCUUAUCACAAUAUCAUAACUCUCCCAAACCUGAACACUUACAUAUUCCGUAAAAUAAGUUUCUUUGAUAACUGUGUUUGUAUGUUUAUUUCUUUUUUUUAAACAAUAGUGCAAAUUGUUCGAUGCCUAACUGAUUUUCAUUGUUCCUGGAACAGUUCUGCAGUUCUAUUCCAUUCUGUUCUACCACAUUCAACUUGUUGAAGUCCAAGAUUUUUGUUGAAACCAAAGGAGAAAGAAUAUUACGCAACACAACAGUGAAUUUGACAUACUCAUGUGAAUACUCUGUGGUGGAAAUUGGCAUGUGAGAGUGGGCCACCACCCGUGAAGGAGCCGAUCCUGUUUGCACAUCAGAUUCAUUGAGCAUAUUGCGAGAGUGGAGUUGCAGCCAUAUUCAACUCAGUCCCGUUAGCAUAACCAAAAGCUAGACUUAACUUCAAUGCUUCGGAAAGCGAUGUUCUUGACCUCCCUUAUACAUCCUGGAGGAUGCAAAAACUUCUACUACUACUUUUUGUUAUACUUUAUAGCCCUCUCAGACUGAAGCAAACUCUCACAACUUCUAUUAGGCCCCGUUAUUACUACAGAUGAAAUCAUUAUAGUUGAUGCUGAAAAGGACAGCUUCUGCUCAUAAUUUACUUCAUUAUUCUAAGCGGCUGGGUUCUUAUAAGUGGUAGACGCAGUCAGCCCACUGUCAUAAUCACACGCUCGACCUUGUGCUGACCUCAAUAUUGACAAUUUAAUAAUACUCCCACAAUCAGACCACAUCCAAACCACCUUUACAAAUGAAAUAACUCUGAAUUGACUUAAUUGGGAAAAAAAAAAGAGCAGACCAUUUCACUUGUUAUAAAGGUCAGUAAAAUAAAAUAGUACAACAUAAUACAAGUCAUUUGAAUUGGGUUAGUAGUUUAUUUUUGUGUUGUAGCGAUGCUUCCUGUCAUUACAUUUCAUUAUGUUGAAGCUUAUUUUCCCAUUCAGACCACUAAGCCAGGAAGAUACAUUUGUGAAAUGUGCGUUGGACCCACAUCAAACAAAAAUGAGCCCGUGAAUCUGACCUGCUGCAAGGAUAGGCUUUGACAGGGCUCACAGGACGUAUUCACACCACUUAAAAAAAUUGAAAAAAAAUUCAUUACACUGGCCUCAAAAUCCUAAAAGCAACACUGAAAACGGAAAGCGAUGCUGUACCAUAUUUUCCAGAUUAUAAUAUGGUACUUUUUUCCCCACACCCUGGACAAUGCACCCUUUGUAACGAUGCAAGUUUUUUGUUUGUUUUUUUUUUUUUUUUGCUUCCGACUAUCAGUUUAAAUGUACAAAAAAACUUGUAUGAACGUUAUCCUUAAAACAUGACCGUUCUCCAUCAGGCACUAGGGUAUGGGCAUGGGAAGAUGCCUCCACCGUGAAGACAAAGACAGCGGUAAUUUUGGCAUCUUCGAUGCUCGAACAGCCAUCAAGAGAUCAAACUCAAUUCCAGCUUUUCACCCACUGGACAACAGUGUGAAUCAUGCUUUUAAAGCAACACUGCGAGGUGAGUGGGAGGCUUGGAUGAGCAGUGAUGAGAAAUCUUUCACAAAAAACUGGCCGCAUGCAAAAAUCAUCCUUUUCUAAGGUCUGCCAGUGGACCUUAAACAUGGCGCAGUGUGAAAGAAUCUACGACCACCAACAGAUUUCGAAAGGCUGGACUACUACGUAAGGAGAACAGCACAACUUCAGUGGGAACUGGGUCUUGAGAUGAAAAUAUCAUUGAGAACAACAAAGAGACUAAAAUUGUGUGUGAUGGAGACAUUCUGAGGCUCUUCAACUCUGAUACUGAAGACGAUAACUUCAGUGGCUUCAGUGAACAGGAGGAGGGGGACUAAAAACAAUGACUUUUCUGAUAAGUGUGACCCGUUUUAAUGCCGUGUUCGAGUCACUGUUUAGAAACAAAAAAUGUAAACAAACAUUUACAAAAUCUUUCUAGGUAAAUAUCUAAUUUCACAACAAAUAUAUCUGUGGCGUAUAGUCCAGUGCAUCUAAAGUAUGUUAAAAAAAAUUCUACACAAAGUGGGUGGAUUUUAUAUUCCGAUGCUCUCUAACAUCCGGAAAAUACGGUACUUCGUUAUCUGGAAGAACUCCAGGAUGAUCAGCAGAAACCGAAUCAGCGGUUGAGCUCAAUUUUUAGCUUCAUGGAAAAGGGUAAGUUCUGUACACGUCAUUUUUUGUUGUUGUUGUUCUUUUUUCAUAAAUAAAAACAAAAAACUUUGUUGUCCACAUUGUCAUUAUGAGGUGCAUAGAAGCCCAUGUAAUAACGGUCCAAAAUGUAAUAAAUUUGCCCUUUUUCAAAUAUAACACGCCAAAAUUAUAAUGAAAGUUGUGAACCUUCAAUGUCCAACACAUUUGGAGACAGUUUGAAAGAUCAAAUUUAUCAUCGAGUGAAAUAGUGUUGUGAAAACGUAUAGGCUCCCUUCUCAUAUUUCCCAACUUUAACAUUAAACAAACGUAAAUAUCAGACAAAUGUAACCCAAGUGAACUUCAAAUGAUUUUUAAGAUGGUGAUUUAAUUAGAAAAAAAAUAUUCAAUUUUCAUGGCCCUGUGUGAAAAAUAAUGACCCCUUAAAUCUACUAACUGGUUGAGCCAACCUCAGCAGCAGCUAGUGAAAUCAAGCAUUUUCUGUAAGCAGCAAUGAGUCUUGCACAUCUCUUUGGCGAGAUUUUUGCCCACACCUCCUUGCAGAAUUGCUUGAAUUCAGCAAAAAUGAUUGGUUUUAGAGCAUGAACAGCUUUUCAAAGUCAUGUAAAAGCCACUGUAUUUCAACCAGAGUCAAGUCUGUACUUUGAUUAGGCCACUCAAAUAGUCAUUUUGUUUUUUUUAAGCCAUUCAGAAGUAGGAACACUGGUGUGUUUUGGAUCACUAUCCUCCUACAGUACACAAUUGCACUUUAGCUUGAGGUCACAAACUGAUGAGUGACCGUUCUCCUUCAGGAUUUUCUGUUGAAGACCAGAAUUCAUGGUACCAAUCGACCCCAAAAUGUUUUCCAUCUCCUGAAGGAGCAAAGCUGCCCAAGACCAUAACGCUACCACAUUUGGACUGUGGGUAUUAUGUUGUGUUUUGGAAAUGAUGCGUUGCACUUACAGUACGCCAGAUGUAACAAAACAUACAUCAUCUAAAAAGGUCAGACUUUCAUAUUUUCACUUCAUCAAAUAUUCUCAUUAAACUCUUGGGAAUCAUUCCAAUGUGUUUUGUUUUGAUUUGCUUUCAAAUGUAAGACAAGCCUUUAUGUUCUUUUUAGUCAGCAGUUUCUUUUGCAUUGGAACUCUGCCAUGGAGAACAUUUUUCCACAGUCUUUUCCUAAUUGUUGUGUCAUGAACGUUGGACUUAACUGAGGGGAGUGAGGCAUGCAGAUUCUGUUCAGGUAAUUUCCUGAUUGAACAGGUCUGGACGUAAUCAGACUUGGGUGUGAUAAGUGAAAAUUAACCAAAAAUUGUGAUUAGCCACAAAGGGAGUAAUUAAUGUUUCCACACAAGUUGAAGGUUUUUUUUCCUGAAGAAGCAAAAUCACCAUUUAAAAACAGUAUUUUAAAUUGACCUGUGUUAUAUUUGUCUGAUACAUUUGUUUGAUUAUCUCAAACGUUAAUGUGGGAAACUGCAAAAAUUUGAAGAGGGGGCAAAUACCAUUUUCAAGGUACUGUGGACAAAAAAACGUGAAGAGAGGGAGAGCAAGAGACGGACAGACGGAGAGUAUAUAUUUACAGAGUUACAUUCAAAUAAAGUCACAAAUACAUUGAUAUUAGUAUGUGAUUACGUUACGUGCUUACAAACAUUUUUUUAAACAACACCAUAACGUAAUAUUCAGCCAGUAACAUCAGUUAAUACAUUAUUGGCCAUAAAGUAUUAUGUUUUUGGGUCAGGACUUUUGUGACACUAAUGGCCCGUUAUUCUCUUGUAUUCCUACUGUGUUCUAAACCGGGCAAAUUUAUUAGGUUAUGGGCUGUUAUUACAUUACAGGUGGUUGUUAUGUUGUGGGCUUCUGCAGGGUGUUUGUGAAAAUCUCUCAUGGAAAAUAUGAUUUCAAUCCAUUUAGGAAUAGGACUCUAACCAGGGCUGCACGUAUCCAAUAUUUUUAGACUUGACUAUUGUUACG